RNAcentral lists this ribosomal RNA (246 nucleotides) under uncultured bacterium. Its description in RNAcentral is "partial 16S ribosomal RNA". It matches the Rfam family "Bacterial small subunit ribosomal RNA", at positions 524 to 769 of the family's 1533-position model. The record is from RNAcentral.
UACGGAGGGUGCGAGCGUUGUCCGGAAUCACUGGGCGUAAAGGGCGCGUAGGCGGCGCGGAUAGUCGGCGGUGAAAGCCCGGGGCUUAACCCCGGGUCGGCAGUGGAUACGGGCAGGCUAGAGGUAGGUAGGGGAGAAUGGAAUUCCCGGUGUAGCGGUGAAAUGCGCAGAUAUCGGGAGGAACACCGGUGGCGAAGGCGGUUCUCUGGGCCUUACCUGACGCUGAGGCGCGAAAGCGUGGGGAGC